CAGCACAGCUUGCUGCAGGAUGUUCUAUGUUCUAAGAUAACAUUUAACUACCGUUGAUUUGUGGUGUUAAGACCCAGUGGCGUGGGUUGAGAACACGUUUUAGGUUUAUUAUCAUUACUAGAACAGCAGCAGUCACACAUGGCAAAGGCAUUCAAAUAAACGAGAUAUAGGCUACUUCAGGGCUUCGUUAUCUACUAGUGCUGUAUUGCUUUCGUUUCUACAAAGGAACCCAGAGUAUUGUUGUGGCUUUGAAUAACUACACAUUUCGAGGUGACGGGGUCCUAGCCGUCAAUCACACCUUUACAUUGCCCACAAUUCUCAGAAACGAAAGAAAUCUAAUCAAAUCUGAGUCGGGUCGUCACGGGGACAGAGAGGAAGACGCAACGACUUAAACAACGCAAACAUCUGAACCCUCCUCUGGCUCCUGCUCUACGGUGAGUUUACACUUAAGGACUCACAAGUUCUCCGUCAAUUUAAAUUAGAAUGUUAAGUUUCUUUAUUUCAUUACAACUUUUAGUUUGAAAAGUUUUGUUGACAUUAGGUCGCCCAAGUCUAUUUGAAAUUAAAAUACUAUUUAUUAUAUUGACAACUUACUAUUAUUUUUUAUUAUUUAAAGGCCUAUAUGAUUCCAUUAAUUAAGUUUAUUUAAUUAAUUAAGAUUUGUCAGAGUCAUUUAGGCAUUGAACUAGAAAAUAACCGUUAACAGUGAUGAAUUGAAUUUACACCAACUAAAUUAAGCAAUAUUCCAUGAGUUAAAACACUAUCUAUCACUAUUACUGUGAAAGUAUCAAACACCAUAGAAUGGAAUGUAUAAGAAAAUGUAUAGACAGAGGGCCAUGUAUGGACGAAUACACAGCUGCUCAUUACUAUGCAUUAAAGAUGCUUUUUAAGAGAGGCCUCUUUGAUAAUCACUGCAUAAGCCUCCAUAUUCAUAAAACAGACGAACACGAAGCGUGAGUCGAAAGUCAGAUGAACGGGUUGAUCCGGGAGAUCUGCAGGUGUGUGCAGAUAACUGCUGAACUCAUCAACCCACCAAACCUCAUCCCCCUUCCCACCAACGGAUCACAGCAGCAGGUGCUGGACCCGGCCAUCAUGCCCCGCUCCUUCCUCGUGAAGCCUACCGGACGCCGCGCGCUCCGUGACUCUGUUGACCGAGCCGAUCACGAGCGUGCGGACCCGGAGCCCCGGUGUGCGCGCGGACAGAUGCUCGUCCCUGUGUUUGACGUGCCUCCCGCCGCGACGGGGGGGCCUGGGGCAGAGUGGGGCCCGUCACAACCCUGGACUCAAAUGGAUACCAGACCGACCAGAACCGAAAGGACCGACCGGACCGCCUCGGCGAACUGGCCCGGUGAGUCCCCCGGUUCAAUGCAGUGAGAUUGUUCCAAAGCACUAACAUCAGGGAAAUCAUAUGAUGGAUGAUGUUAGGAUCAUAGGAGGAUGUUCCUGACCUUACUGCUUCGGUUCUGCUUGAAUCCCUUUCUUCUUCUAAAUAAGAAAGAGAAAGGCAAACUUUGCUCAAUUUUCG
This 1525-nucleotide long non-coding RNA is filed under the name Gadus morhua (Atlantic cod). RNAcentral describes it as "lncRNA (ENSGMOG00000029511.1)". The record is from RNAcentral. Lineage: Eukaryota; Metazoa; Chordata; Actinopteri; Gadiformes; Gadidae.